This 460-nucleotide ribosomal RNA is filed under the name uncultured bacterium. RNAcentral's name for it is "partial 16S ribosomal RNA". It matches the Rfam family "Bacterial small subunit ribosomal RNA", at positions 338 to 795 of the family's 1533-position model. The record is from RNAcentral.
CCUACGUGAGGCAGCAGUGAGGAAUAUUGGUCAAUGGACGAGAGUCUGAACCAGCCAAGUAGCGUGAAGGAUGACUGCCCUAUGGGUUGUAAACUUCUUUUAUAUGGGAAUAAAAUGUUCCACGUGUGGGAUUUUGUAUGUACAAUAUGAAUAAGGAACGGCUAACUCCGGUACAGAAGCCGCGGUAAUACGGAGGAGCCGGGCGUUAUACGGAUUCAUUGUGUUGAAAGGGAGCGGAGGUGGAUUGUUAAGUCAGUUGUGAAAGUUUGCGGCUCAACCGUAAAAUUGCAGUUGAAACUGGCAGUCUUGAGUACAGUAGAGGUGGGCGGAAUUCGUGGUGUAGCGGUGAAAUGCUUAGAUAUCACGAAGAACUCCGAUGGCGAAGGCAGCUCACUGGACUGCAACUGACACUGAGGCUCGAAAGUGUGGGUAUCAAACAGGAUUAGAUACCCUAGUAGUC